CUGUAUCCAUACCGAACACAGAAGUUAAGCCCUUCAGCGCCGAUGGUACUUGGUGGGUAACUGCCCGGGAGAGUAGGUCGUCGCCGGUC
RNAcentral lists this ribosomal RNA (89 nucleotides) under Clostridiales bacterium. Lineage: Bacteria; Bacillati; Bacillota; Clostridia; Eubacteriales. The record is from RNAcentral.